RNAcentral lists this unclassified non-coding RNA (3064 nucleotides) under Homo sapiens (human). RNAcentral's name for it is "MIR124-1 host gene (ENSG00000284859.2)". The record is from RNAcentral. Lineage: Eukaryota; Metazoa; Chordata; Mammalia; Primates; Hominidae.
GAAUGGGGCUGGCUGAGCACCGUGGGUCGGCGAGGGCCCGCCAAGGAAGGAGCGACCGACCGAGCCAGGCGCCCUCCGCAGACCUCCGCGCAGCGGCCGCGGGCGCGAGGGGAGGGGUCUGGAGCUCCCUCCGGCUGCCUGUCCCGCACCGGAGCCCGUGGGGUGGGGAGGUGUGCAGCCUGUGACAGACAGGGGCUUAGAGAUGCAAACAGACUCAGGGAGAGAAACAGAAGCUGAUUCUGUGACAGAAGCAGAUCUGUGCAGCACAGAUGCGGUGUGCGUGGGGAGGGGGUCGCCUGGGAGCGCAUUGCGGAGUGCUUGUGUGUGCAGAUUUUUCUCUGGGCUCAGGACUCAUUGUAUGUGGGUCAACACCUUCCUCCGUGACUGUGUUUUUGUUCUGAGCUGAGUUUUUUGGUUUGCCCUUAAAAAAAUAAUAAUUUGGCAUCCAGAGACUGGCAGACUGCCUCAGGGCCUGGACUGCGGAUAUAUUGUGUUCUGCUUGAGGUUUGGGGAGGAGGGCAGGCGGUAGGAAGGGAGAGGGGGAGCUGUUUGUCACACUUUGCUGUAGAGCUGAGAGCACCUGACAAGCUUAAGGAAGUCGUUGGGCUAUGUGGACAAGAAGGAGCCAGCUCCCAGCGGGUUCACAAGCUCUAUCGGAGUUGAAAGCGUGGUCAUGGCUCUAAGGAGCACCUCACGCCCUCCCUGUAGCUGUUAUUGCAGUUUCAGGCAGAGAUCCAGGAGCUGCAGAGGAAGGGAGAGGCACAAUAACCUACAUGGACCCAAGGGAGACAUGUGUUCCUUUAAAAAUGUGAACAGAAGGAAAAACAGAAUGUGUGCAACUGGGGGUCUGAGGAAAGACUGUUUUGAAAGAGGCUGUCAGGGAAUGGAAAGGGUUAAGCUUUUCAUCCUGAAGAACCUGCUUCCCAAAUCAGGCCUUCCUCCCAUCACUAGACCCUGAGCAGCAGCUGGUCCUAGAGACCCCCCUCGUACUGCGCUGCCACAGUCUCAUCCCAUUUCCAGCUCUGUAUUAACCACCAAGCUGCAGCGGAUGGGGCAAGACCUAAGCUCAUUAAUUUCCAGGUGGAGGAAAUGGAGGAGGGGCAGGUCCCUGCAGUAGAGGGAGGAGCAGAGAAAGGAGGCCAAGAGCUGGAUCCUUCUGCCCAGGAAGCCUGCUGCAUCCCUUCCCCCGAGCAUGGCAGAGGCCUGGCUUUGCAAGGCCAAGGCCAUAAGGGAUGCUUAGGAGAUUAAUUUGAUUCCUGACACAAUAAUCAAGCCCUAAGAGUCUCCACUGAAGCUUACUGAGGACUUCUUUCCUCUCCAAAGCCUCAGUCUAGCCUGCUAAAUAAAUUAGUAUUCAGUGAUGCCUUGGAUCAGGGCCCCUCCCCGGCCUCAGUUUCCCCAAAUAUUUAUUAAGUACCUACUGUGUGCAAUCCUUGUGUAAUUAUUACCUCUUAGGCUCUUCAUUUGCCCUCCUAAAGCAGUGUUUAGAGUCAGGCAGAGGUUAAGUGUGUUGCACCUCACCUAGAUACUUCCAGAACCUUCUCUGGGUCUGCAGAAUGUGGCACAACCUGCUUGCCCCCGCAGAGAGAAAGCUGCAGUGCACAUCCUGCAGACUGCAGGUGCUGGGCUGCCUCUGGAGUCCCAGAAGGCAAGCUUGGCUGCAGGACAGAAAGGGAGAACAGCUUCUCUCACCCCUGAGCCUUCACAAGCCCUUGUCUAUUUGCCGUUGCCUUCAAAAUAUACCUCCCCCGAAACCAGUAGCUUUCUGAGUCCUGGUGUCCCCUCCGCCCUUUCUGGACAGGUUUGGGAAGAAGAAAGCAGUCAGUGCUGGGCCUUAUUGGGGUGUGAAGCGCCUUGCUCUGCCCCUUCUGCUCACUGUGAAGGCCGCUGGAUGCUUCUCUUAGGCAUGGUUUAAGCCUCCGAUUACUAAACCCCUUGCCCCACAAACGUCCACAUUGACGAGCCUCUUUUUAGUAACUGCUUCCCCGUAAUUCCUUCAGAGGUUGCUGUACCCUUCGCUGAUGUGCUGCCCUCCUGUAAAACCUCCAGAUGCCUUCCCACGUAAUGCCCCUUUCAGAUGCUUUAAGCUGAGAGCUUAAACCACAGGUACCAUGGCUGACGCCUGCCAGGUUUCUGCUGCAGAUAAUCUAUGAUGGGAGGGGCAUAUUUUUUACUUCAUUACUUAUGUAAACUCUUGUUCCAGAAAGCUUUAAUGUGUGUGGGAGUGUUCUGGGUCUAUUAGGUCUGUGCGCAUGGGUGUGGGCAUUUGCCUGUGUCCACCGGGUGGGUCUCAUUAUGAAAUGUAUGUUUAUGUAGGGCUUUAAUGGCUGAAAAUGGCAAAGAGAUGAAUAGACCACUUGGCCCCAUGUGUAAUUGCCAGGCCCCUUCUGUGCUCAAAUGAGGUGUCCGAGUGAAGGUCAGCCCUUCCCUUCUGUAUUUGGGGCCUAUUUAUGCCACCAGUAAUUUUAUAAGAAAUCUGAAUAGUUCUCCCCUUUGAGUGCAUUUAACUCUUUAGUAUCUUCUCUCUUACCUAUUUGAGCCCCUCUAGCUACAGUCUGGCUUAAAUGAAAGGGGAAUUAUAUGCUUAAGAAAAAGUAGGACACGGUUGAGGCAGUUUGCUGACUGAAUACGCGAAGAAGGACCUGAUGGGCUCAUAUGCACCACUGCCAUCACAGUCCCCAUCGUGAUGCAAGCUUAUAUGAUUCUUGAGGUAACUCUACCAGAUACUUCCAGAUUUAGAAAUGUGUCAAAGGAAAAAUUGGUGAUACUCUUCUUUCCCCUGCCAGAAACAGCCCAGAUCUCCUCUUAAGCGGAAAAGAGAUUGACCUUCUAGCAGAGGCAAAGGUAAACUCCUAAUGGAGUCUUCUGGGGGCAGCUGCAAAGCGUUCUCCCUAGGACAGAUGGAGCCUCCCUUUCCUCAUCUACUCUGUGGGUGGUUUCAGGGCCCACGAGUCAACAUGAGGAGUUGUGCUGGUGGUAUGUGUGUUGGAGGCUGGGCUGGCUGAUUCACAGUGACGAGGAUGUCAAUAAUAACAAGAAUGAGAAUGAUGAUACCUAAUAAAGA